GACGAACGCUGGCGGCGUGCCUAAUACAUGCAAGUCGAACGCAGUGGGGACGGGUGAGUAACACGUGGGUAACCUCCCAUCAGAGGGGAUAACCCUUGGAAACAGGUGCUAAACCGAUACUGAUGGAGCGCCCCGCGGUGCAUUGGCUAGUGGGUGAGGUAACGGCUCACCAAGGCCACGAUGCAUAGCGGACCGGAGGGGGUGAUCGGCCACACUGGGACUGAGGCACGGCCCAGACUCCUACGGGAGGCAGCAGUAGGGAAUCUUCGGCAAUGGACGAAAGUCUGACCGAGCAACGCCGCGUGAGUGAAGAAGGUUUUCGGAUCGUAAAACUCUUUUGGUAGAGAAGCGGUAUCUAACCAGAAAGCCACGGCUAACUACGUGCCAGCAGCCGCGGUAAUUC
RNAcentral lists this ribosomal RNA (403 nucleotides) under uncultured bacterium. Its description in RNAcentral is "partial 16S ribosomal RNA". It matches the Rfam family "Bacterial small subunit ribosomal RNA", at positions 28 to 526 of the family's 1533-position model. The record is from RNAcentral.